RNAcentral lists this ribosomal RNA (248 nucleotides) under uncultured bacterium. Its description in RNAcentral is "partial 16S ribosomal RNA". It matches the Rfam family "Bacterial small subunit ribosomal RNA", at positions 524 to 768 of the family's 1533-position model. The record is from RNAcentral.
UACGAAGGGGGCGAGCGUUGUUCGGAAUUACUGGGCGUAAAGGGCGCGUAGGCGGUGUGUCAAGUCAGGCGUGAAAGCCCCGGGCUCAACCUGGGAACCGCGCUUGAGACUGGCACGCUCGAGUCCGGGGAGAGGAUGGUGGAAUUCCCAGUGUAGAGGUGAAAAUUCGUAGAUAUUGGGAAGAACACCGAUGGCGAAGGCAGGUCUCUGGGCAUUAACUGACGCUGAGGAGCGAAGAGCAUGGGGAG